UACGGCCCCUCCAGGGAACCACG
Molecule: microRNA, 23 nt
Filed under: Monodelphis domestica (gray short-tailed opossum)
Lineage: Eukaryota; Metazoa; Chordata; Mammalia; Didelphimorphia; Didelphidae
Description: mdo-miR-7250-5p
Source: miRBase by way of RNAcentral